ACACUUAACUGGAAGGUGAGAUACCAUGAUCACUAAGGUGGUUCUGCCAGGGCAAGGCUCAUCAUCUGCACUCUGGGUGUGCUGGCCCCUGCGAUUUCCCCUAAUGCAGGAAGGUCACUGCAUUAUUUGCAGUAGUUGGGGACUGCGUUUCUGCUUCUGGCUCUGG
Erpetoichthys calabaricus (reedfish) is the source of this 166-nucleotide small nuclear RNA. Its record names the gene U1. It matches the Rfam family "U1 spliceosomal RNA". Rfam says of the family: U1 is a small nuclear RNA (snRNA) component of the spliceosome (involved in pre-mRNA splicing). Its 5' end forms complementary base pairs with the 5' splice junction, thus defining the 5' donor site of an intron. The record is from Ensembl. NCBI's taxonomy places the organism in Eukaryota, Metazoa, Chordata, Cladistia, Polypteriformes, Polypteridae.